Molecule: ribosomal RNA, 650 nt
Filed under: Polypedilum okiharaki
Lineage: Eukaryota; Metazoa; Arthropoda; Insecta; Diptera; Chironomidae
Description: partial 28S ribosomal RNA
Source: RNAcentral
CCAAAUAUCUAAACGGAGAAAUUCAAUAUUACCCUUAACAAGUAAUGUGCACUUUUCUCUUAGUAAGACGCCGUGAUCCAUUAGAAAUUGGUGCGUACCAAACGCAUAGUGGGUCAUCAAUAGGCCGGUGUGAAGUUUAUUCGGAACAAAUGGCGUGGCCUUUAACGGUCGCGUGUAUUGUCUGGUAAGCGCAUCGAUACCUGUAAUGACUGUCUGAUGGAUUUUAAAGAUUGCUAUUAACGAUGUCUCGGCAUCGGCGCAUGCGCUYAAGUAGCAUAUCCGAUCAACGGCGGUUAAAUUUGGGAUACCUUUUGGACCCGUCUUGAAACACGGACCAAGGAGUCUAUCUAGUAUGCGAGUAAAUGGAUAAUUUUGUGAAAUCUAUUUGCGUAAUAAACGUGACUGUUGUGUGGGAUUACAAUUGAUGGUUAGUAAUGGCCAUUAGUUUUCCAUCCCGGGGUAUUUUCAUCCACAUAUAAGCAAUUAUAUGGAAAAUAUACCAUGAGCACACUGGAUACGACCCGAAAGAUGGUGAACUAUGCCUGAUCAGGUCGAAGUCAGGGGAAACCCUGAUGGAGGACCGAAGCAGUUCUGACGUGCAAAUCGAUUGUCAGAAUUGGGCAUAGGGGCGAAAGACCAAUCGAACCAUC